RNAcentral lists this ribosomal RNA (440 nucleotides) under uncultured bacterium. Its description in RNAcentral is "partial 16S ribosomal RNA". It matches the Rfam family "Bacterial small subunit ribosomal RNA", at positions 338 to 795 of the family's 1533-position model. The record is from RNAcentral.
CCUACGGGAUGCAGCAGUGGGGAAUAUUGCACAAUGGGGGAAACCCUGAUGCAGCGACGCCGCGUGAGUGAAGAAGUAUCUCGGUACGUAAAGCUCUAUCAGCAGGGCAGAAAAUGACGGUACCUGACUAAGAAGCCCCGGCUAACUACGUGCCAGCAGCCGCGGUAAUACGUAGGGGGCAAGCGUUAUCCGGAUUUACUGGGUGUAAAGGGAGCGUAGACGGCAGCACAAGUCUGGAGUGAAAUCCCGGGGCUUAGCCGCGGAACUGCUUUUGAAACUGUGCGGCUGGAGUGCAGGAGGGGUAAGCGGAAGUCCUAGUGUAGCGGUGAAAUGCGUAGAUAUUAGGAGGAACACCGGUGGCGAAGGCGGCUUACUGGACUGUAACUGACGUUGAGGCUCGAAAGCGUGGGGAGCAAACAGGAUUAGAUACCCCAGUAGUC